CAUGGUACAGUGAUCAAAGGAUUUAUUCGCUGAAGGAUGGCUUCGCGUCCGAUUAGGUAGUUGGUGAGGUAACGGCCCACCAAGCCUACGAUCGGUAGCCGGACUGAGAGGUUGAUCGGCCACAUUGGGACUGAGACACGGCCCAAACUCCUACGGGAGGCAGCAUG
This 167-nucleotide ribosomal RNA is filed under the name uncultured bacterium. RNAcentral's name for it is "partial 16S ribosomal RNA". It matches the Rfam family "Bacterial small subunit ribosomal RNA", at positions 188 to 353 of the family's 1533-position model. The record is from RNAcentral.